CUAAGAAUAUUUCCGCAAUGGGGGGAACCCUGACGGAGCGACGCCGCGUGGGCGAGGAAGGCCGGAAGGUUGUAAAGCCCUUUUGCGCGCGAGGAAGAAGGGGAGGAGGGAAUGCCUUCCCGGUGACUGUAGCGCGCGAAUAAGCGCCGGCUAAUUACGUGCCAGCAGCCGCGGUAACACGUAAGGCGCGAGCGUUGUUCGGAAUCAUUGGGCGUAAAGGGCGUGUAGGCGGCCCUGCAAGCCUGGCGUGAAAUCCCCGGGGCCCAACCCCGGAACCGCGCUGGGAACUGCUGGGCUUGAGCCGCUGUGGCGCAGCCGGAAUUCCAGGUGU
Molecule: ribosomal RNA, 331 nt
Filed under: uncultured Treponema sp.
Lineage: Bacteria; Pseudomonadati; Spirochaetota; Spirochaetia; Treponematales; Treponemataceae
Description: bacterial SSU rRNA
Rfam family: Bacterial small subunit ribosomal RNA
Source: RNAcentral